GGGACACGUGGUAUCCUGUCUGAAUAUGGGGGGACCAUCCUCCAAGGCUAAAUACUCCUGACUGACCGAUAGUGAACCAGUACCGUGAGGGAAAGGCGAAAAGAACCCCGGCGAGGGGAGUGAAAAAGAACCUGAAACCGUGUACGUACAAGCAGUGGGAGCACGCUUAGGCGUGUGACUGCGUACCUUUUGUAUAAUGGGUCAGCGACUUAUAUUCUGUAGCAAGGUUAACCGAAUAGGGGAGCCGAAGGGAAACCGAGUCUUAACUGGGCGUUAAGUUGCAGGGUAUAGACCCGAAACCCGGUGAUCUAGCCAUGGGCAGGUUGAAGGUUGGGUAACACUAACUGGAGGACCGAACCGACUAAUGUUGAAAAAUUAGCGGAUGACUUGUGGCUGGGGGUGAAAGGCCAAUCAAACCGGGAGAUAGCUGGUUCUCCCCGAAAGCUAUUUAGGUAGCGCCUCGUGAAUUCAUCUCCGGGGGUAGAGCACUGUUUCGGCAAGGGGGUCAUCCCGACUUACCAACCCGAUGCAAACUGCGAAUACCGGAGAAUGUUAUCACGGGAGACACACGGCGGGUGCUAACGUCCGUCGUGAAGAGGGAAACAACCCAGACCGCCAGCUAAGGUCCCAAAGUCAUGGUUAAGUGGGAAACGAUGUGGGAAGGCCCAGACAGCCAGGAUGUUGGCUUAGAAGCAGCCAUCAUUUAAAGAAAGCGUAAUAGCUCACUGGUCGAGUCGGCCUGCGCGGAAGAUGUAACGGGGCUAAACCAUGCACCGAAGCUGCGGCAGCGACGCUGAUGCGUUGUUGGGUAGGGGAGCGUUCUGUAAGCCUGCGAAGGUGUGCUGUGAGGCAUGCUGGAGGUAUCAGAAGUGCGAAUGCUGACAUAAGUAACGAUAAAGCGGGUGAAAAGCCCGCUCGCCGGAAGACCAAGGGUUCCUGUCCAACGUUAAUCGGGGCAGGGUGAGUCGACCCCUAAGGCGAGGCCGAAAGGCGUAGUCGAUGGGAAACAGGUUAAUAUUCCUGUACUUGGUGUUACUGCGAAGGGGGGACGGAGAAGGCUAUGUUGGCCGGGCGACGGUUGUCCCGGUUUAAGCGUGUAGGCUGGUUUUCCAGGCAAAUCCGGAAAAUCAAGGCUGAGGCGUGAUGACGAGGCACUACGGUGCUGAAGCAACAAAUGCCCUGCUUCCAGGAAAAGCCUCUAAGCAUCAGGUAACAUCAAAUCGUACCCCAAACCGACACAGGUGGUCAGGUAGAGAAUACCAAGGCGCUUGAGAGAACUCGGGUGAAGGAACUAGGCAAAAUGGUGCCGUAACUUCGGGAGAAGGCACGCUGAUAUGUAGGUGAAGCGACUUGCUCGUGGAGCUGAAAUCAGUCGAAGAUACCAGCUGGCUGCAACUGUUUAUUAAAAACACAGCACUGUGCAAACACGAAAGUGGACGUAUACGGUGUGACGCCUGCCCGGUGCCGGAAGGUUAAUUGAUGGGGUCAGCGCAAGCGAAGCUCUUGAUCGAAGCCCCGGUAAACGGCGGCCGUAACUAUAACGGUCCUAAGGUAGCGAAAUUCCUUGUCGGGUAAGUUCCGACCUGCACGAAUGGCGUAAUGAUGGCCAGGCUGUCUCCACCCGAGACUCAGUGAAAUUGAACUCGCUGUGAAGAUGCAGUGUACCCGCGGCAAGACGGAAAGACCCCGUGAACCUUUACUAUAGCUUGACACUGAACAUUGAGCCUUGAUGUGUAGGAUAGGUGGGAGGCUUUGAAGUGUGGACGCCAGUCUGCAUGGAGCCGACCUUGAAAUACCACCCUUUAAUGUUUGAUGUUCUAACGUUGACCCGUAAUCCGGGUUGCGGACAGUGUCUGGUGGGUAGUUUGACUGGGGCGGUCUCCUCCUAAAGAGUAACGGAGGAGCACGAAGGUUGGCUAAUCCUGGUCGGACAUCAGGAGGUUAGUGCAAUGGCAUAAGCCAGCUUGACUGCGAGCGUGACGGCGCGAGCAGGUGCGAAAGCAGGUCAUAGUGAUCCGGUGGUUCUGAAUGGAAGGGCCAUCGCUCAACGGAUAAAAGGUACUCCGGGGAUAACAGGCUGAUACCGCCCAAGAGUUCAUAUCGACGGCGGUGUUUGGCACCUCGAUGUCGGCUCAUCACAUCCUGGGGCUGAAGUAGGUCCCAAGGGUAUGGCUGUUCGCCAUUUAAAGUGGUACGCGAGCUGGGUUUAGAACGUCGUGAGACAGUUCGGUCCCUAUCUGCCGUGGGCGCUGGAGAACUGAGGGGGGCUGCUCCUAGUACGAGAGGACCGGAGUGGACGCAUCACUGGUGUUCGGGUUGUCAUGCCAAUGGCACUGCCCGGUAGCUAAAUGCGGAAGAGAUAAGUGCUGAAAGCAUCUAAGCACGAAACUUGCC
RNAcentral lists this ribosomal RNA (2394 nucleotides) under Escherichia coli. RNAcentral describes it as "partial 23S ribosomal RNA". It matches the Rfam family "Bacterial large subunit ribosomal RNA", at positions 419 to 2798 of the family's 2925-position model. The record is from RNAcentral. Lineage: Bacteria; Pseudomonadati; Pseudomonadota; Gammaproteobacteria; Enterobacterales; Enterobacteriaceae.